Long non-coding RNA from Macrobrachium nipponense, 841 nucleotides. RefSeq lists it as uncharacterized. The transcript has 3 exons. Lineage: Eukaryota; Metazoa; Arthropoda; Malacostraca; Decapoda; Palaemonidae. The record is from RefSeq and is a predicted model, not a curated record.
GCCAGUCAGCCUAGCAGCAUCAUCAUCAUCAGUGUUUCUAUUUGACGAAAACGGUGGCUACAGGAGCGUACAUACUAUUUAAACGAAAACUAUCCAUUUUCUGUUUAUGAAAGGAAGGAAGGAACCAAGAGAUCAAGUAGACAAGACGAUGAUGCGUCGUCAUCUAUUUUUUUGGAAUAUUUAGUUUGAACCGGUCUUGGCGGCAUAACAACGCCUAUUUCCACCACAUCGAGUCGUCGUCUGAGAUAACCUGUUUUGUUAUAAAUGAUCGCUGAUAAUCUGUGAAGGAACACGUUUUCUUCAUAUCAAGUUAAUUUUCCUCAAUAACAUCCUCUAGAUUCUCCCUCAGAAAAACUUUCCUUCCUUCGUCAGUAUUGAUUAGCAUCAGGAUUUUGGGAAAUGCAUGUUGUUUAUUGGUACUACAUGGAACAUUACCAAUAGCAACUCUUAAAGUGUAUGAGACAACAGUGAAUUAUUGUACACGCAUUUAACAAAUUUAAACAACAAGUAAAGUUUUUUGUAUAUUAGAUUCAUACAUCAGCAGUGAAAUCUGGUUGUAGUAUUUCAAGAUAUUGUACUUAAUUUUUAACAGAUUUAUUCAGUAAUUAUUUGUAAACAAUUCUGUAUUAAGAGUUGUGAAUUGAACACAUUGUCAUUACAGAACAGGACAGGACAUUAGGGCUAAAAUGAAUCCAGAACAUUCUUUAGAAUUUCCUUUGAAAAGUGAAACUGAAGGUGCAUUAUCACUACCUUCCAUAAACCAAGAAAACAGCAACAUGGCUGCCUUUAGUGGAACCAGUGAUGGAGACUUUUUGUCUCUGGAUCCAUUGAUGGACAUCAA